CUAUACUACAAUCACGAAAAUGAUUCGGGGGCGCUGCCAUUUUUCCGACCGGUCUCCCGUCUCCAUCGCGCCUGUUGGCUGCGGGGGAUGCGGAACGGGGCCCGGCUAUUUCCACCCUAUUUCCCAGAAUUCCUUUCCCCAUUGAGCCGGCCGCCAUCUUGCGUACGGGCCGGAUAAUUGACGUGCCACGUUCGUUUAUGAGCAUGCAGCGUACGGGCCGGAUAAUUGACGUGCCACGUAUACAUGUACGUUCGUUGUGAGCAUGCAGCGCAUGCAACAGCACAGCAUUGCUGACAUGGUUGAUGUAUCUGUUCCUCCUUGCUCCAGUUUUCUCUUUGAACGGACUCCCGAUGACACCCACAUCACAUGACCAGCUCCAAGCAUGCUCCAGUGCAUGCUUCAACCAGUUCCUAAAGCAAGAAUCUCAACUCAAGACGAAGACACCUAUUCCUUCCAGUUCAACUGCAAGAUUCCUGCUUUUUCUCUUUACCCAUUCAAAACACAUUUUCCUUCUAGCCAUAAUUUUAUUUUUAGAAGUCA
Molecule: long non-coding RNA, 540 nt
Organism: Patiria miniata (bat star)
Lineage: Eukaryota; Metazoa; Echinodermata; Asteroidea; Valvatida; Asterinidae
Exons: 2
Source: RefSeq, a predicted model, not a curated record